CCCUACGGGGCGCAGCAGGCGCGAAAACUUUACAAUGCGGGAAACCGUGAUAAGGGAACUCCGAGUGUCCGUAAAUGCGGACUGUCCGUAUGUUUAAAAAGCAUGCGAAGAAAGGGCCGGGCAAGACCGGUGCCAGCCGCCGCGGUAAUACCGGCGGCUCGAGUGGUGGCCACUAUUACUGGGCUUAAAGCGUUCGUAGCUGGGUCGUUAAGUCUCUUGGGAAAUCUACUGGCUUAACCGAUAGGCGUCCAAGGGAUACUGGCGAUCUAGGGACCGGGAGAGGUGAGGGGUACUUCAGGGGUAGGAGUGAAAUCCUGUAAUCC
Molecule: ribosomal RNA, 323 nt
Filed under: uncultured archaeon
Lineage: Archaea
Description: bacterial SSU rRNA
Rfam family: Archaeal small subunit ribosomal RNA
Source: RNAcentral